UCUUGAACUCCUGACCUUCUUCUGCUUGUCUAGGUCUCCCAAAGUGCUGGGAUUACAGGUGUAAGCAUAUGUGCCUGGCCCCUGUCUUCAUUUUUACUAGGAGCAAUGUAAUUCUAAUUCUUUGUACCUUGAUUCCAUUUACAGUUUUUUUCUUGAAUACUGUUUCAUUUCAAAUUAUAAAUUUUAGGGGUGGGGACAGUGGAGGGAAGAGGUGACAGAUGGUGUCCGUUGCCAGGAAAACUAUAGUACCUCUUAGAGUUUCUUUCAUUGUUGAAUUUAGGAAUAAGUGGGGAUGGUUUAAGGUUUGGGGUUUGUGGGGACUUGAGAGAUCUUCCAUUGAAACAUGCUAUGAACAAACUAAAUCAUGGGUAAUACCUUGUGGGUUGUCUCUGGGUUGUGCAGUCUGAUAGGCACUUUGCUGACAUUUAUUUUAUUUCUAUAAUAGUUCAAUAAAAUUCAAAAUGUUACCAAUAUUAAAGUCAAGGAAACAAUCUCAGUAGAAUAGUAAUGGGACCCAUGUUAUAGACUGAAUGUGAAUCUCCCCAAAGUUUAUGUGUUGAAAUCCUAACCCUUAAUGUGAUGGUGUUAAGAGGUGGGACUGUUGGCACCUCUGGAAAGUAUUUGGAUCAUAGAGGUGGAGCUUUCUUGAAUGGGAUUAGUGAUCUUAUAAAAGAGACCGCAGAGAGUUUACUUACUUUCUUUUCUGCCACAUGAGGAUACAAUGAGAAGAUGGCCGUUGGCUGGGCACGGUGGCUCAUGCCUGUAAUCCCAGUACUCUGGAAGGCCGAGGCAGGCGGAUUACCUGAGUUCGGAAGUUCAAGAGAAGAUGGCAGUCUACAUCCCAGAAGAGGAUCCUCAGUAGAACCUGACCAUACUAGAACCCUGAUCUUGGACUUCAGCCUCCAGUGCUCUGAGAAAUAAAUUUAUUGUUUAUUAGAUUAGGUUACUCGUAAGUGACCUUAUUAUGAUAUUUCAUUAUAGCAACCUGAAUGGACUAAAACACCCCAAGUUUGUUGUGGAAGUGUGGUGUACAGAGUAAAUUUUUUGAGCAACCGUUCUAGUAUUGCCUUCCCUAAGUGCUCUCUGCUUUGCUUGGAAUAAGAGGUAGGGGGGUUUGGAGAACCCUCCCCUGGGUGUUAUUCUAGUGCUUUGCUGCUUUCCCUCCGAAAGGACGGUGUAGCCCAGCUCUUGGCGCAUGGUUGCCAGUGAUGUAGAAAUUCUAUUUCUAAGGAUUAAAGAGGGAGGGCCGACAACAAUUAGGUAACUUGCAGCCUCUGCCACAUUCAUGUUUCAAGAUUCUUCUUUGUUUUUUUUUCAUUUUAGUCACUUAAUGAUUAUUCCUUCUCUUAUUCUUCCUUGAUCUGCAGGGAUUGUGAAACAAUCCAGAAACUUAGUAAUAUUAUGAAUAACAUUUAUCAAGUGGCCACAAUGUGCUUGCUAAUGUUCAAAUAAGAUGAGGAAUGUCAGCUUUGCUCUCCAAACCUUGUUAGACUCAAACCCUCAUGAGACUUGAUACCAUGACUGCUUAUGUCCUUUUAUUCCCCAAAUCAAUUCCCCUUUCCUUUCUUACUGGGUUUUAAAUGCAGAUGACACAUUCAGGGAAGAUGAGAGGGCCUGUCUGAGUUGGAGAAGUAGGAGUUGGUAUUUUACAGAGGCUGUGACACUCAUACUUCAUGAUUUAGAUGGGCCCAUAAUUUCACUAUCACCAUUGACAUAUUUUUCCCAAGUUAGAAAAUGAACCGUUAGUGCUAUUUGACAGUGUUUCUUUGGGAUACUUUUCAUUAUUCAGUCUGUUUAUGAGUAAUUAAAGGUCCACCAUCAUCAUCUACAUUUAGCUGUUUGUGAUUUGUGCGGAGUUCACAUUGAGUUAUUGAUUUUACCCCCUGCAGUGUAAACAUGAAAGACUAUGAAAUAGUGAUCUUGCUGGUAAAAUGUAGUUUGCAUAUUUUUUAAUAAUGAAGACAUUUGGCUGUAUUAGUCUUCCUGCCCAUAGGAAUAGAAAUGUGGAAACCUGCAGGAGAUAUAAAAGACAUUUUUUUAAAAAAGGGAAAUAAAAAGAAAAACUCUUCAUGUACAACUGUAGGGCCACAAUAAAUUCAAAAGAAUGUAUUUUCUUGAUGACUUAGUAGCCCAUUUAAUUCAUAAUCCAUGUUAGUUUAAAGUCAAUGUAAACUGGUUUAUGUGUUUUUCUUUAGCAAUAUAAUAAAUUGAUUUUAGGAUGGGGCGCAAACGAAUUAUGAGUGCUAGUGUUUUAUUCUAGUGACUGAGGGUCUUCUAAAUUAAUGAGUUAAACAGUACAGGAUAUAGCAUCAGAAGAGAGUUCCUGCUGUUUACCUACAAUGGUUGCAUCCUCACUAAAAAAAUAUGCACUGCCCUCUGCUACAAAGACACCCGCCAGAACCUUGUUCUUUUGUCUUUGAGGACUGUUUCCCUUUGUGCUCUGCCAGCCUAUCACAAUAAAAUGAUUUCAAUGAUGUGGUCUCAUUGCAGGAAAUGUUUAAUGACUCUCAGGAAAACUAUAAAUAAAUCUUAUGUCAUUAUUACACCAAAGAACAUCUUCAGACCUUAGAUAAUUAGGAUGUCCCGCCUAGGUUUAUUAUGAGAAGCUUUCAUUCAAAGAGGUGCAUGCUUGAUACUUGAUUUUAAUUUAUUUUAUUCUAGGCUUUAAAUUGUCCUGUCUCAAUGCAGAAAAAAAAAGUGUCAAGUCUAUUGGCUAGUAGGGAGGUUGUCAUUUUUAACAAAGUCCUCAUAAGAUGGAAGGGGACCUUCAGAGGUUGGUCAUCUUGUCCAUCUCUAGCCUGCAAAUAUUAAUAGUACUCAAAUCGCCUUGAACAGGUAAGUGAGAACAGAGCUUGUUAUUAAAGGUUCUUAAAGACCUUUAUUUAUAUUAAUUUAAUAUAUUUAUAUUAAUUUAUUGAAUAUAAUAUUAAAGCACACUUCAAAAUUUUCCCCCAAGUAACAUUUUAGUUAAAUUGAAAGAAACUGUUUCUAUCCACUGAUCUAAUUCUUUAUUUCUCAUGAAAGCUCUAUUUUUAUUUGUAGCUUAGAUAAUUGAAGAAUGUUCUUAGUAGCUUGAAGUUUGUCUUCCUUGUAUGCAUUUGGAUUUGAUAGGAAGAAUGAUCAUAUUGACAUAUAACAUGGAAUAUACUUUUUAAGGUCAAGGUAUCUGGUCAUUUAUUUCCCAAUAGAGUAUUACUAGGUCCACAUUCUUUUGAUUCUGAUGAUUUUUUCUUUUUUAGAAAAGUACAU
Long non-coding RNA from Sapajus apella (tufted capuchin), 3249 nucleotides. RefSeq lists it as uncharacterized. The record is from RefSeq and is a predicted model, not a curated record. Lineage: Eukaryota; Metazoa; Chordata; Mammalia; Primates; Cebidae. The transcript is spliced from 2 exons.